UGGUGGGUAGUUUGACUGGGGCGGUCUCCUCCUAAAGAGUAACGGAGGAGCACGAAGGUUGGCUAAUCCUGGUCGGACAUCAGGAGGUUAGUGCAAUGGCAUAAGCCAGCUUGACUGCGAGCGUGACGGCGCGAGCAGGUGCGAAAGCAGGUCAUAGUGAUCCGGUGGUUCUGAAUGGAAGGGCCAUCGCUCAACGGAUAAAAGGUACUCCGGGGAUAACAGGCUGAUACCGCCCAAGAGUUCAUAUCGACGGCGGUGUUUGGCACCUCGAUGUCGGCUCAUCACAUCCUGGGGCUGAAGUAGGUCCCAAGGGUAUGGCUGUUCGCCAUUUAAAGUGGUACGCGAGCUGGGUUUAGAACGUCGUGAGACAGUUCGGUCCCUAUCUGCCGUGGGCGCUGGAGAACUGAGGGGGGCUGCUCCUAGUACGAGAGGACCGGAGUGGACGCAUCACUGGUGUUCGGGUUGUCAUGCCAAUGGCACUGCCCGGUAGCUAAAU
RNAcentral lists this ribosomal RNA (496 nucleotides) under Escherichia coli. RNAcentral describes it as "partial 23S ribosomal RNA". It matches the Rfam family "Bacterial large subunit ribosomal RNA", at positions 2259 to 2754 of the family's 2925-position model. The record is from RNAcentral. RNAcentral also lists the same sequence under 3 other names. Lineage: Bacteria; Pseudomonadati; Pseudomonadota; Gammaproteobacteria; Enterobacterales; Enterobacteriaceae.